Molecule: long non-coding RNA, 2168 nt
Organism: Cercocebus atys (sooty mangabey)
Lineage: Eukaryota; Metazoa; Chordata; Mammalia; Primates; Cercopithecidae
Exons: 2
Source: RefSeq, a predicted model, not a curated record
UUAAAGGUUCCAGCUGCUAUUGUUAUCACUGGAGGCAUAAAAUUGGAAUCCCAACUUCCAAUAUCAAAUUUUAGCACAAACGCUAUAAAAUGUAUCUUGUCAGAAUGUGCCAGAACCGCUAAGCUCUUUUCGGCUGAACAAAUUGCAGCUGGUGUCCUUAAAGGUCGAGAAUCAACUUGCUGUAUCCUCAGGGUUUAGGCAGCAAAUUGGUCCCAGUUUUCACCCUGCCGCAGGGCCGGCUGGGGAGGGCAGGGGUUUAGAUUAGCCGUGGCCUAGGCCGUUUGACGGGGUGACACGAGCCUGCGGGCCGAGUCCAAGGCCUGGAGAUAGGACCAACCGUCAGGAAUGCGAGGAAUGUUUUUCUUCGGACUCUAUCGAGGCACACAGACAGACCAUGGGGAUUCUGUCUGCAGUGACAGCCUUAACAUUUGCCAGAGCCCUGGACGGCUGCAGAAAUGGCACUGCCCACCCUGCAAGUGAGAAGGCAUAGGUCUCAGGGACUCCCCGUGGAAACCCAGUGACAAAACAAUAACACCAUCACCUGCGCUGAAAAGUGAGCAAAAAUAAUAGAGUGGUUAUCUCGAGAAAGCGGCUCCUGGAAAAUGCAUCCCUUAAAAUGGAAGCACCCAGCAGAGGCUGAUCUGUGGGGCUGGGGAGAAAUGGAGCAAUCGCCAUCACUCCAGGCUCAUCUGAGAACCCCAAAUUCCAUUAAGAAAAGAAUCUGCUGAGCAAGACCCUUUUGAAAGCCCCAGGGUGCUAAAGGAGCAGAAGGAAAGCCCGGCUUGGCAUCCACACGGCCACCAAAGCCCGGAGGUCAGGGACUGCCGGGAGGAACUGAUCUGAUGAGAGGAUCCGUGAGAGAGCAGGGCAACUGCACUAAGGGGCCAUUUCUCCAACAUGGACAGGGCACCGGGGAGCUUGGCUAACAUGGUCACUCAGCCUUCCUUUGUGGAAUCACAGGAGAGGAGGCUGCUUUGGGCCAGCAUUUACGAAAACUGUCUUUUUGGCCCCUGGACCCUGAUGAAUAGAAAAACUCUCCAGUCUGCAAACCCGCUGCAAUCGCUGCGUCAGCUCAGAGCCGAGAUGCUUCCCAAAUGAACACCUGGAUGGUGUAAAUCACCCUGACGGUAAACACUUCAGGCCAGGACACAGGCUGCAGGCGGGGUGGGGUGGCAUCCUCCCACCCGGCCGGGGUCCAUAAACCAGGCGCUGGCCCUGCGCUAAUAAAUGCUCCUUUCACAGCAAAAGACCCCUCCUCCCAGGCUGGGAUCACAGUCCCUGUAGAGAGGGUGCACGGAUAACCGACAGCGUUUCUCCCACCCUCACCACCGUCUGACUUACCCCGGGCUGGUAUCCGGGAGUGUUGUCAGUCAUUUAUGCCAUUAUGAAUGGCUUUACGAUACCUCGAGAGGGGGACCAGGGUCACGGGCUUCAUGGUGGCUAUUUUCUGAAGGUGGCGUGAGAAUAUAAAACCAAAAUUCAAGGUCUGCUUUUUAAAUAGCAUGCUAGUAAAGUCAGAAUAGUAAUGACGGGAACUGCAAGAUCGAUCUGAAAUGUUCCUAAGGUUAGUGGGAUCUACAGUGGCAUUCCCUCUUGUGAAACACAUUGAACUAAAAUGUUAAACUAACUCUCCCUCUUGUUGCUGCUGUCUUAAAAUCCUUGACCGCUGAUGGAUGGCCAUUUGGUGUAAACAAUUCUUAUAGAAAUCCCCGAAUAGGGGAGAAGCAGAGGGUAGACAGCAGAAUAUAUCUAGAAAAAGAACACCGCCUGGGGAAUUUCUCUGCAUUCGGAUGCUCUACUUUAAAAAAUAAAAUCUCUCCGUAUAAUUAUCCAGUUAGGAGGAGUCUUUUAAAUGGUAUCUUUUGUCUUCAGCCAGACAGAUGUGAGGACACACAAUGUAAACGUUAUACAGCAGCUUUGGGAGAGGCUUUUUAUGGCCCUGUGUCUUUCCACUCACAGUACAGACUCGAGAAAUGUAGGGAACUCGAGAGCAGCCACUCGGCCCCAGGAUCAACCCAGAACCGAAGAAAAACAACCAAGAGAAAUGAUUCUUCAGCCUGGAACGAAACGGGGAUCAAAUGGUUGCUGAUCAGAGCACAUAUUUAAAUGGGAAAAGUCAAAUUGAGCAUUAUUAAAUAAAGCUUGUUUAAUACGUCUCAAACAGAAAA